RNAcentral lists this unclassified non-coding RNA (379 nucleotides) under uncultured Pseudomonadota bacterium. Its description in RNAcentral is "uncultured proteobacterium contains 16S-23S intergenic spacer region". The record is from RNAcentral. Lineage: Bacteria; Pseudomonadati; Pseudomonadota.
UCCGGUUUGUCACCGGCAGUCUACUUAGAGUGCCUUAUAAAUAAGUAGCAACUAAGUAUAGGGGUUGCGCUCGUUAUAGGACUUGACCAAACAUCUCACGACACGAGCUGACGACAGCCAUGCAGCACCUGUCACUCAUCCAGCCGAACUGAAGGAAAUCAUCUCUGAAAUCCGCGAUGAGGAUGUCAAACGCUGGUAAGGUUCUGCGCGUUGCUUCGAAUUAAACCACAUGCUCCGCCGCUUGUGCAGGCCCCCGUCAAUUUCUUUGAGUUUUAACCUUGCGGCCGUACUCCCCAGGCGGUCAACUUCACGCGUUAGCUUCGUUACCAAGGAAUUGCUUCCCCGACAACCAGUUGACAUAGUUUAGGGCGUGGACUAC